CCCAGUUCGGAUUGCAGGCUGCAACCCGCCUGCAUGAAGCCGGAAUCGCUAGUAAUCGCGGAUCAGAAUGCCGCGGUGAAUACGUUCCCGGGUCUUGUACACACCGCCCGUCACACCAUGGGAGUCGGGAAUGCCCGAAGUCAGUGGCCCAACCGGAAGGGGGGAGCUGCCGAAGGCAGGCCCGGUGACUGGGGUGAAGUCGUAACAAGGUAAC
Molecule: ribosomal RNA, 214 nt
Filed under: uncultured bacterium
Lineage: Bacteria
Description: partial 16S ribosomal RNA
Rfam family: Bacterial small subunit ribosomal RNA
Source: RNAcentral